CCAAAGCUCCGAUUUUUGACGAGCGCAUCUAUUAGAUUAAAACCAAUCGGAUUUCGGUCCGUCAUUUGGUGACUCUGAAUAGCUAUGGCUGAUCGCAUGGUCUUGUACCGGCGACGUAUCUAUCAAGUGUCUGCCUUAUCAACUUUCGAUGGUAGUUUAUGUGCCUACCAUGGUUGUAACGGGUAACGGAGAAUAAGGGUUCGACUCCGGAGAGGGAGCCUGAGAAACGGCUACCACAUCCAAGGAAGGCAGCAGGCGCGCAAAUUACCCACUCUCGGCAUGAGGAGGUAGUGACGAAAAAUAACGAGACCGUUCUCUAUGAGGCCGGUUAUCGGAAUGGGUACAAUUUAAACCCGUUAACGAGGAUCUAUGAGAGGGCAAGUCUGGUGCCAGCAGCCGCGGUAAUUCCAGCUCUCAAAGUGUAUAUCGUCAUUGCUGCGGUUAAAAAGCUCGUAGUUGGAUCUGCGCCUCAGGACUCGGUCCGCCCACUGGGUGAGAACUGGGCUCCUAGGCUAAUACUGCUGGUUUUCCCUAUGUUGCCUUCACCGGUCGCGUAGGGUGGCUAGCGAGUUUACUUUGAAAAAAUUAGAGUGCUUCACGCGGGCUAUUGUCUGAAUACUCGUGCAUGGAAUAAUAGAAUAGGAUCUCGGUUCUAUUUUGUUGGUUUUCUGAUCUGAGAUAAUGGUUAAGAGGGACGGACGGGGGCAUUCGUAUCGCUGCGUGAGAGGUGAAAUUCUUGGACCGUAGCGAGACGUCCGACUGCGAAAGCAUUUGCCAAGAAUGUCUUCAUUAAUCAAGAACGAAAGUCAGAGGUUCGAAGG
RNAcentral lists this ribosomal RNA (821 nucleotides) under Aplectana chamaeleonis. Its description in RNAcentral is "SSU rRNA". It matches the Rfam family "Eukaryotic small subunit ribosomal RNA", at positions 174 to 1004 of the family's 1831-position model. Lineage: Eukaryota; Metazoa; Nematoda; Chromadorea; Rhabditida; Cosmocercidae. The record is from RNAcentral.